Molecule: non-coding RNA, 460 nt
Organism: Chiloscyllium plagiosum (whitespotted bambooshark)
Lineage: Eukaryota; Metazoa; Chordata; Chondrichthyes; Orectolobiformes; Hemiscylliidae
Source: RefSeq, a predicted model, not a curated record
UGCAGUUUAUGUGGUGAAGGUGCUCCCACAAUGUGGUUGGGAUACUACAGGUGGACAUUCAGAUGGUAAUCUCAGUCAUUGUAACAUCUAACUCUGAUUGAAUUAGUCAAUUCAUCAGGACCUGGAUAUUUGCAUUGUGUGGUUCUGAAAGGGCGGAUUUGUGGAUGAGAAAUUCAAAUUGAACUUCCUGUUCAGUUUUGCUGGUUACUUGAUCCGUGCCGAUCUGAAUAUCAUUGGCCUUUUCAUGUGGAAGGAAAGGAUGCUACGUGGUGAAGAUUUGCAGACUCAAAUUUCAACAUCAUGUGCAGAUUGUGAUAAAGUUAACCAGAAUUUGAAGAACCAAAGAUGGAGAAUCACUCGGCCAAAAUCCUGCAACACUCUCACUCAUAGCAUUAUCGGUCUAUCUGCACCAAAUGGACUGUGAAUGGUACAAGACAGCAGCCUACUACCAUCUUCUCAA